Molecule: long non-coding RNA, 293 nt
Filed under: Brassica napus (rape)
Lineage: Eukaryota; Viridiplantae; Streptophyta; Magnoliopsida; Brassicales; Brassicaceae
Description: long non-coding RNA (BNAP_LNC016889)
Source: RNAcentral
GUGGCGUAAGUGUCAGCUGAGAUCUCCUUUCGUUGGUAAUGUGUGUCAGACAUGUCUGAUGUACCUUUGGUAAUAGCCGGCCUCGGUUUGUAGCGUCAUCGACCGAUGUCUGUCUAAGAAUGUCGGUCGAUUUGUUGUUGCGUCUGUCGAUCGAUGCUUCUGGUCGACGUGCGAUGUAACUCUGAAUCUCCACUAAUUCCCCUUGUAUAGCUUCUAUCUUGGAAGUCAAAACACUAAUGCUAAGAUCCAUUGGGAAAUAAAUGUCAUCACAUCUCCUAUCAACCCUCUCUUCU